UUUUAAACAAUAAAAAUAGCAUAAUUUUUCUAAUAAAAAAAAUAUUUUUUGAGUUUUUGCGUCCCAAACGCAAGGAUGAUCAGCCCACCCACCAUCAUAUUGGAAGACACCCCGCCCGGCGCGAUUGUGAUCAAGACCGAAGCGGUCUUGUUCACGGGCAGGUACAAGUUCACUCCUCCACGGCUCGCCGUGCUAGGGGUGGAGAUCCCGCUUAAGGACUCCAUGACUUAUCUGGGCCUUGUCAUAGACAAGCAUCUAAAGUUCGGUUUUAAAUAAAGAAAAGGUUAUAAUGGAGCGUUGAAAUCAUUAAAGUAACAAAGGUCAUUGUGAAGCUAAAGAUAUUUUCGUGAAUCCUGGAUUGCCUUUUCUGGUACAAUUUGACUGAUAUUUUAAGACCAGGAACUGUUAUCUUCAUAUGGGGUUCUACUUCUUUAGCUACUGUGUUCAUGUGUAUCUACAAAGUGGCCAAAAUAUUCAACAACGUGAUAAUGUAGUUUUACAUGUAACAAUAGAUUAUAAUUAUCAGGUUAUGAUCAGAGGUAGUAUUCAAAAUCAACAGUGGAAUGACUGUGAAUUUCAUGGCUCAUCUAUACGCCUUAAUAAAGGAGCAGACUUUCAUUUAGUUAUACUGUGUGAUGUGGAUAACUAU
This is a long non-coding RNA of Daktulosphaira vitifoliae (grape phylloxera), 649 nucleotides long. RefSeq lists it as uncharacterized. The record is from RefSeq and is a predicted model, not a curated record. Lineage: Eukaryota; Metazoa; Arthropoda; Insecta; Hemiptera; Phylloxeridae. The transcript is spliced from 4 exons.